Molecule: ribosomal RNA, 484 nt
Filed under: uncultured bacterium
Lineage: Bacteria
Description: partial 16S ribosomal RNA
Rfam family: Bacterial small subunit ribosomal RNA
Source: RNAcentral
AUUGAACGCUGGCGGCAUGCUUUACACAUGCAAGUCGAACGGCAGCGCGGGCUUCGGCCUGGCGGCGAGUGGCGAACGGGUGAGUAAUGCAUCGGAACCUGCCCAGUAGUGGGGGAUAGCCCGCCGAAAGCCGGAUUAAUACCGCAUACGACCUGAGGGUGAAAGCGGGGGACCGAAAGGCCUCGCGCUAUUGGAUCGGCCGAUGUCGGAUUAGCUAGUUGGUGGGGUAAAGGCUUACCAAGGCGACGAUCCGUAGCUGGUCUGAGAGGACGACCAGCCACACUGGGACUGAGACACGGCCCAGACUCCUACGGGAGGCAGCAGUGGGGAAUUUUGGACAAUGGGGGCAAGCCUGAUCCAGCCAUGCCGCGUGCGGGAAGAAGGCCUUCGGGUUGUAAACCGCUUUUGUUCGGGAAGAAAUCCUCUGGGCUAAUACCCCGGGGGGAUGACGGUACCGGAAGAAUAAGCACCGGCUAACUACGUG